GCGGAGGUAGUUCGGGGAGACAGGUGGUGCAUGGUUGUCGUCAGCUCGUGUCGUGAGAUGUUGGGUUAAGUCCCGCAACGAGCGCAACCCUAUUGCUAGUUACCAUCAUUAAGUUGGGGACUCUAGCGAGACUGCCAGUGAUAAACUGGAGGAAGGUGGGGAUGACGUCAAAUCAUCAUGCCCCUUAUGACCUGGGCUACAAACGUGAUACAAUGGCUGGAACAAAGGGAUGCGAAGCAGUGAUGUGGAGCGAAACCCAUAAAAACAGUCUCAGUUCGGAUUGAAGUCUGCAACUCGACUUCAUGAAGUCGGAAUCGCUAGUAAUCGCGGAUCAGAACGCCGCGGUGAAUACGUUCUCGGGGUUU
This 365-nucleotide ribosomal RNA is filed under the name uncultured Acholeplasma sp. RNAcentral describes it as "bacterial SSU rRNA". It matches the Rfam family "Bacterial small subunit ribosomal RNA", at positions 1011 to 1382 of the family's 1533-position model. Lineage: Bacteria; Bacillati; Mycoplasmatota; Mollicutes; Acholeplasmatales; Acholeplasmataceae. The record is from RNAcentral.